CCGUGCCAGCAGCCGCGGUAAUACGGAGGGUGCGAGCGUUAAUCGGAAUUACUGGGCGUAAAGCGCAUGCAGGCGGCCGUGUUAAGUCAGAUGUGAAAGACCCGGGGCGUUAACCUCGGAAUUGCAUUUGAAACUGGCAGGCUAGAGUCUUGUAGAGGGGGGUAGGAAUUUCAGGUGUAGCGGUGAAAUGCGUAGAGAUCUGAAGGAAUACCAGUGGCGAAGGCGGCCCCCUGGACAAAGACUGACGCUCAGAUGCGAAAGCGUGGGGAGCAAACAGGAUUAGAUACCCUGGUAG
RNAcentral lists this ribosomal RNA (295 nucleotides) under uncultured bacterium. RNAcentral describes it as "partial 16S ribosomal RNA". It matches the Rfam family "Bacterial small subunit ribosomal RNA", at positions 503 to 793 of the family's 1533-position model. The record is from RNAcentral.